CCCUGUGGCUUAGAUGGCAAAGCAUCUGCCUACAAUGCAGGAGACCUGGGUUUGAUCCCUGUGUUGGGA
Molecule: transfer RNA, 69 nt
Filed under: Bos taurus (domestic cattle)
Lineage: Eukaryota; Metazoa; Chordata; Mammalia; Artiodactyla; Bovidae
Also listed under: 2 other names
Rfam family: tRNA
About the family: Transfer RNA (tRNA) molecules are approximately 80 nucleotides in length. Their secondary structure includes four short double-helical elements and three loops (D, anti-codon, and T loops).
Source: Rfam by way of RNAcentral